Non-coding RNA from Ciona savignyi (Pacific transparent sea squirt), 195 nucleotides. The record is from Rfam. NCBI's taxonomy places the organism in Eukaryota, Metazoa, Chordata, Ascidiacea, Phlebobranchia, Cionidae.
AUCGCUUCUCGGCUCUUUUGAGCUAAGAUCAAGUGUAGUAUCUGUUCUUCUCAGUUUAAUACCUGGGACGGAAACGAUUCGUUUCCUCUAUGUAUUAAUCGGAUUUUUGAACUUGGAGUAUGGUGCUGGAGCUUGCUCCACCCUGCUCACGGGUUGUCCUGGUAUUGCAGUACCUACAGGUUCGGCUCACGUUUC